GGGAGCAGUGGAGUGAUGGUCCCUGAGGGAGAGGAGCACCUGAGGAAGAGCAGAGCCUCAGUGGGGAGAUGCUGCACAUUCCAAGGGAACCUGUGGCAGAAGGUGCACCCAGGAACACAGAAAACGCCGGUGGCUGUUUCUUGCUCCGUGGAAGGAAGCUAAAGGAGUUAAUUGAAUUAAAUCCUGAAUCUGGGUAGCCAGGAGUAAGGCAGACUGAAAACUGAAGCCUGAACUCUAUUUGAGCUUGAAGAGAGACACUAAGAACGUCUUGGAGAGCAAAUCUACUGCUUGGAGACCAGUAGGGCUGGUAAAAGAUUUUUGCUAUGGAAGGAGACCAUUUCUUGAUCCUGAACCAGAAAGUUCCUUGGAAAAGGAUGGACCCUCCUUUGAGAAAACAGGAUAACUCUGAGAGAAUCUGAAUGAUUUAGGUUGGCAAUAACCUUUAAGAUCAUCCAGUCCAACCUUUACCACUACCAAGGCCACCACAUUCAGGUACAUUGACUUUCUUCA
Corapipo altera (White-ruffed manakin) is the source of this 510-nucleotide long non-coding RNA. RefSeq lists it as uncharacterized. Lineage: Eukaryota; Metazoa; Chordata; Aves; Passeriformes; Pipridae. The transcript is spliced from 4 exons. The record is from RefSeq and is a predicted model, not a curated record.